UUUUUUUUUGUAUUUUCCUCCAAAGGAGUGCUUUAUUGACAAGUUGCCUGCUAAUAUUUGUUAGGGAUACAUCAGUGACCUGCACUCCUGUAAUGUGUUCCCUCACACAGCUAUUAGUUUUUAACCCUGGAAAAGGAGACACCAAUAACAUGUUCUUCCUCAGCUCCCCAAUUACUUGCUGUUCCUUGCUUUGCGUGGUACAGUAUUCUAAGGGUGUCCAAAGAAGCCAGGGUAUGUCACACUGUAUCAGACCAGAAACUAAAAGGGACAAAUCCCACCUCACCCUAGGAGUGCAGAGAUAUGCACAACACAGAUAAAGUCUUUGCCCUGCUCAGAGCCAUUAAGGCACAGUGCUGCCCCUCUCUCCAAAUCGUGACUCUCAACACACAGGGCCCUGGUGUUGAGAGGCUGCAGAAUGUGGCAAUUGGAGGCAGGAGGAAGGAACUUAGAAAUCGUUGAAACUCCUGAGAAAAGAUGACAGCAGAGUUCUGGCUGAACCAAAACCACAUCCCUUACCUGACCUGCAAGGUUGGUUCUGCUUUUCAUUUAUUCUCCAUGUAGUGAACAGACAGGCAGAAACUAUGG
This 585-nucleotide long non-coding RNA is filed under the name Rattus norvegicus (Norway rat). RNAcentral's name for it is "long non-coding RNA NONRATT006931". Lineage: Eukaryota; Metazoa; Chordata; Mammalia; Rodentia; Muridae. The record is from RNAcentral.